RNAcentral lists this ribosomal RNA (660 nucleotides) under Halomonas magadiensis. RNAcentral describes it as "bacterial SSU rRNA". It matches the Rfam family "Bacterial small subunit ribosomal RNA", at positions 45 to 702 of the family's 1533-position model. Lineage: Bacteria; Pseudomonadati; Pseudomonadota; Gammaproteobacteria; Oceanospirillales; Halomonadaceae. The record is from RNAcentral.
GGCCUAACACAUGCAAGUCGAGCGGUAACAGGGGUAGCUUGCUNCCCGCUGACGAGCGGCGGACGGGUGAGUAAUGCAUAGGAAUCUGCCCGAUAGUGGGGGAUAACCUGGGGAAACCCAGGCUAAUACCGCAUACGUCCUACGGGAGAAAGGGGGCUCCGGCUCCCGCUAUCGGAUGAGCCUAUGUCGGAUUAGCUGGUUGGUGAGGUAAAGGCUCACCAAGGCGACGAUCCGUAGCUGGUCUGAGAGGAUGAUCAGCCACAUCGGGACUGAGACACGGCCCGAACUCCUACGGGAGGCAGCAGUGGGGAAUAUUGGACAAUGGGGGGAACCCUGAUCCAGCCAUGCCGCGUGUGUGAAGAAGGCCCUCGGGUUGUAAAGCACUUUCAGUGAGGAAGAACGCCUGGUGGUUAAUACCCAUCAGGAAAGACAUCACUCACAGAAGAAGCACCGGCUAACUCCGUGCCAGCAGCCGCGGUAAUACGGAGGGUGCGAGCGUUAAUCGGAAUUACUGGGCGUAAAGCGCGCGUAGGUGGCUUGAUAAGCCGGUUGUGAAAGCCCCGGGCUCAACCUGGGAACGGCAUCCGGAACUGUCAAGCUAGAGUGCAGGAGAGGAAGGUAGAAUUCCCGGUGUAGCGGUGAAAUGCGUAGAGAUCGGGA